Molecule: ribosomal RNA, 479 nt
Filed under: uncultured cyanobacterium
Lineage: Bacteria; Bacillati; Cyanobacteriota
Description: bacterial SSU rRNA
Rfam family: Bacterial small subunit ribosomal RNA
Source: RNAcentral
GGUACAAGGGAAGUUGCUUCCUGUUGACAAGCGGCAAACGGGUGAGUAACGCGUAGGAAUUUCUUUAAGUAGAGGAUAGCUUUUCGAAAGAAUUGGUAAUACUUUAUGUGAUCGCAAGAUUAAAGCAGCAAUGCGCUUAAAGUGAAGCCUGCGUUCUAUCAGCUUGUUGGUGAGGUAAUGGCUCACCAAGGCUUAGACGGAUAACUGGUCUGAGAGGAUGAUCAGUCACACUGGAACUGCGACACGGUCCAGACACCUACGGGUGGCAGCAGUGGGGAAUAUUCGGCAAUGGGGGAAACCCUGACCGAGCCAUACCGCGUGGAGGAUGACGGCCCUAUGGGUUGUAAACUCCUGUGGAGAGCUACUAACACAAUGAAGGGCUCUCUAGAAAGAGGUUGCUACCUCUGUGCCAGCAGCAGCGGUAAUACAGAGACCUCAAGCGUUAUCCGGAAUUAUUGGGCGUAAAGCGCUCCGAUCGG